UUAUUCACAGCUGGUCACGAAUAAGACGUUUCCCAAUGCGAUGAGCAGCGCAGCAUCGACUGAAGCUUUCGAAAGGGAACAGUGUAUUGUGAUAUGUGAAAUGUCAUUAAAAUAUUUGAACGAGCAAACUGCAGACAUCUGUGGUAUGUUAACAAGAGCAGAAAAGGCAGAAAAUAAACUGAAACCAUAUGAAAGACUUACGUAGUAUUGAGCAUUUGCAAUAGUCUGAGAAAAAUGCUGCUGUGUGUUUCUCUCAGCUAAGUUAAAACUGAGAAUAAAAUGAAAACAGUUAUUUGAGCUUGUAUAUAAAACCAGCAAUUCAUCAUUUUGUAUUGUUAUUUUUGGGUAGAAUAGCAUAGUUAUGAUUAGAUCUAAGUAUUAUCUUAAAAAAACACUGAAUGUUUUCAUUUUCUGUUUGCAUAGUAGUCCACUUUCGGUCACCUCUAUUAUCAUGCUUGUCAUCAGUUUCUGUCAGCUGUGAAUGCAAAUCAACUAGCUAGUGCAAUGCUAGCAAUUAUGCUAGCACUGUUCCCAAACCUAGAAUUUACCAGCUUCCGUAAAAGGAAAUGUCAUAAGUGGCCUGUUUAGAAAGCUGCGCACAGGCAGAAACUUCACAUGCCUACCAUUUGAUUUUAGCAAGCAAGCUAAGCAAACGAGAUACUAAGAUAAAUGUAACCACUUUCAGUAUUUUUUUUUUUAAUAAAUAUAGUAUUCAGUACAUUUUUUAUUAUUGAAUGAAUCAUUUAAAAUAAGCUUUUUUUUUUUUUUUUAACUGGUGUUUGAAUCUCUUUAUUCAGUAUUUAAUAUUAAAUGAUAUUUUAAUGCAGGUUUGCACAAUUUUGCAGCUUCAUUAUGGUUUUUAAUCCAUUCGAAUGGACAGGUUCAGUUCUAUUCAGUGUUGUGGUCAAUGCAUUAGUGUCUUCAUGCUUUUCAAAUUAAAUUAAGAUGUUUAAGAUUUAAUGUCAUUCUUUUAUUGCAGAAGCAAAACCAUGGAUGUUGUAAAUGCUGUGAAAAUGAUCGUACUGGUUUGGACUUUCGCAUCUGUCUGUGAGGCCAGUGAUGAUUCAUGUACCUUCAGUUCAAGCUGUGCUGAUGUGACUGGUACUGUGCAUGAAGAACUAACUCUCACUUGCAGCAUCUCACUGAACUGCACUAAAGAAGCUGAUAAAUGCUGCAUUAUAUCGUACAUGUUUAAGGAUGAAAACACCACAGUAAUCUACAAAAAGGAGUUUCCUAACAAGACCUCUCCUAACAAGACCUGUGAACAAAAGAUCAAAGCCACAUAUGUUUACAAAUCAAGUAAAAACAUCACAGCAAAAUUUACAUUAUUUUCCCAAACAAAUUGUGAGACAAAGGAAACAGAAUUCAUCGUUAACGUAACAGAGUCUGGAGAUAAACCCACCAAUACAGAUACUGUUAAGAAAGGUGAAGCAAAGCUGACAACAUCUGAGGUCACUGUCAUUGUGUUCGCCAUAAUUGUCUUCAUCAUCAUAAUGUUAAUCAUUUAUAGGAAAUACAAUCCCACAAUCCCUUGUCGACACCAGAGAGACUAUAAAACAGCUGAUUCUGCCACAAAAGAUGAUGACAACGGUGAAUAGUCAGAAUGAGCUUCUCAGCCGCACAGCUGGACUGUGUAGCAGUUGUGUUUCACAUCCAGUGCAGGUCAUGAGCCUUUAAACAUGUUUAUAAAAGUGUGUACAGAGGAAUCAUAACUGUCUGUGUUAUUUGGUCUACUCAGUGCACUCUUAUCCUAAGCUGUAUGUUCUGUUUUAUAUUGAUUUCUGUGAAAUAACAGAAUGCUGUCGAUCUGUUUGAUCAGAUUACUGUAUACAGUAAUUAUGUUGAAUGUUCUCAAGUCCUUACACUCUCAGAAAAAAAAAGGUACAAAAUCUGUCACUGGGACGGUACCAGUGUUGGGAAGGUUACUUUGGCAAUGUAACAGGUUACAGAUUACAAGUUACCCUAUUUAAUAAGUAGUGUAACUAUUUCAGUUACUUUAUUGGAGUUACUGAUUACAUUUGAUUACUUUUUGAUAACUUUUCUAAAUCUCUAAUGAAUGUUUUUAACUGGUAAUCAUUUUCAAACAUGUAAAUCAGGCAGGGUUAACCUCACACUAGAAAUCCCUGAUCACUUGAAUUAAGAUUAUAAUAAUGUUUUGGAAAAAAAUUUAAUCUUAAAAAAUAAAGCACAUACAUAAAACCAAAUUGGUGUCUCAUAUUUUAGAGCAGUCAAUGCAAUUUGGGAAAGAAAUCAGUCAAAUCUCUGUCUGUGUGUGUGUGUGUGUCUGUGUGUGUGUGUGUGUGUGUGUGUGUGUGUGUGUGUGUGUGUGUGUGUGUGUGUGUGUGUGUGUGUGUGUGUGUGUGUGUGUGUGUGUGUGUGUGUGAUUGUGUGUGAAAAUAUUCAGAUGUAACCCCCUUUGUAAUCGUUAACAUUUUCAUAAGUAAAUGUAAUCAGUAAGAUUACAGUUACAUUUAUUUUGUAAUUAAAUUACAUAAUUCUGUUACAUGUAACUAGUAACUCCCCAACCCUGGACGAUACCUUAUCAAAAGGUACACCUUUGUACCUUAUUUACCCCUAAACAGUGCAUAUUAGUACCUUAAAGUUACAAAUGAAUACCUUAAGUGUACAUAUUAGUACUUUUUAAAAAGGAACUGCACCAGUGUCAGCUUUUGUACCGUUUCUCUGAGUGUAUAAUCAAGCUCCUAUAUUGACAGGCCUCAGGAAUUUUCUUGGUUUGUUGGGUGUUGUUGUGUUUUUUUUUUUCUUUUUUUUUUCUGUAUCUUCAAACCCUACACAUGAUGUUACUCUUUCUCUGUUGAGUUUUUUAAAAAUACAAAUUAUUAAAGACUUUUGAUGCUCUGUAAUGAUCAAUGUUUGACUGCUUUUUAUUAUCUGGUUUGAUUGUUUUGUAUACCAUAUUAUCACAUUGAAUUAAAGUGAGAUUCUAGUUCGUUUGCUGGAUCCCAUAAUUAAAAUAUGCAGUGUUUUCUGCCAACUGGCAACCUGGGGUGUUAUAUAAAUAUAAAUACUAUUAGGCAAACUGGCAGAAAGCAGAGGCACACAGAUCAAAACAGAAACAGA
Molecule: long non-coding RNA, 3081 nt
Organism: Cyprinus carpio carpio
Lineage: Eukaryota; Metazoa; Chordata; Actinopteri; Cypriniformes; Cyprinidae
Source: Ensembl